Pangasius djambal is the source of this 83-nucleotide non-coding RNA. Lineage: Eukaryota; Metazoa; Chordata; Actinopteri; Siluriformes; Pangasiidae. The record is from the annotation of a GenBank genome assembly.
ACCAGGGUGGCUGAGUGGUUAAGGCAGUGGGCUUAGUCUCCAAUGGAGGAAUGACCUUGUGUGUUCAAAGCCCACUCCUGGUA